CGCACCUUGCGCCCUCUGGUAUUCCGGAGGGCAUGCCUGUUUGAGUGUCAUGUAGACUCAACCCUCCCGGUUUUUCCGGGAGAGGUUGGACCUGGGCGUCUGCCAUGUCUGGCUCGCCUCAAAUGCGUCAGUGGAUGUCUGUGGACCCACGACUGGAGUGAUAAGUUUCUCUGGCCAAAGGUCCCGUGACCCGCUCACAACCCCCCCUAUUUUGACUCUGACCUCAAAUCAGGUAGGACUACCCGCUGAACUUAA
Molecule: unclassified non-coding RNA, 255 nt
Filed under: Tremellomycetes sp.
Lineage: Eukaryota; Fungi; Basidiomycota; Tremellomycetes
Description: partial contains 5.8S ribosomal RNA, internal transcribed spacer 2, and large subunit ribosomal RNA
Source: RNAcentral